This 298-nucleotide unclassified non-coding RNA is filed under the name Hevea brasiliensis (rubber tree). The record is from RNAcentral. Lineage: Eukaryota; Viridiplantae; Streptophyta; Magnoliopsida; Malpighiales; Euphorbiaceae.
AGAAAGAAAGAAAGAAAGAAAGGAUUGACUUGAAUAGUUAAAACAACACUCCAGUAACAGCAAACAUUUGGAUUCCCAGUGUGGAUUAAAAAAAUAAAAUAAAAUAAAUAAGUAAAAUAAACAAAGAGCUCGUUUUGUACCAAUCCCAUUUGCAAAUACACUCAAAAUUUCAAAAGAAAAAACAGAAUAAAGCGAUAGACAUAGAUAGCUAGUGUGUGUAUAUAUAUACACCACUGUUUUUCAUAUAUUUUUAUUUCCCCCUUUUAUUAAAAAAAAAACAAACCAAAAUGAACAACAA